AGAUGCACCUGGCACUACUCUUCAAAGUGUGGUCAGCAGACCUUAGAAAUACAAAACUGCAGAUUUAUUGAAUCAGAAUCUGCAUUUUAACGAGAUUCUCAGGUGAUUCAGGUGCAUGUGAGAGUUUUGCCCUUCCCCUUCCUUCUUCUUGGUACAUAGACAUGUGGAGAUGGACGAGCUUUUUGUGACCCUGAAGCAUCAAACCACACGCUGAGGAUAGCUGUACAGAAGGAGUCCAAAGAAGCUCCCAACUGCCUACGUCCAGACCUCACUUACACAGGUCAUAUAUACUGCUUCUUUAGUGAACUGAGAUGUAAGCAGCAUGGUAGAUUUGAAACAUCACGGGAUCCACAUUCAGCCCUAUUUGGACUAUGAGAUCCCACAUUCCUGAACAGAGGUGACUGCAUUAGGAGUAAGCACUUGAUACAGACUGAGGUAAGCAGUUUCCCUUUUCCAAGAAUUUGGAGUUGCGACCAAGGCAAAGGUGUCAGUCCUUGGAAUGACCUAGAACUGCAAUAUGUCAAUUUAGGAGCUGAGAGGAAAAUGCAUUUCAUCAUUGGACAUAAGAAAUGCAAACAUCUGACUUGGGGAGGGAAUGUUAAAGGAAAAAUGGUAAGGCAUACUAUUCAGGGCCAUCACUAUAAGUGUAGGGACCACUGCAGGGGGUUCUGCAGUUGGGGAGAGAGAUUGGGCUCAACUGAGAAUUCAACAAGGAAAAGUGGGGAUUUAUAGCCAAAGAAAAGGGUAGAGGGUCAGUGGAUGGAAACUUACUAAGAGGAAACAUCAGGGGUAAGGAGGCAUUCUUGCUGAACUGACUUAACAGGAUUCUUGCUGAAGACAGGUCAGGGUGCUCACACAUCACCUAGUGGGUGGUGGGGGAUGAGGAGCCUGUUCAGAUAUAGAGGGUGGGGGAUUCUGGUUAAAAUGACUUAGCAGGACUCUUGCUAAAAUUGGACAAUGCAGAGAUAAACACAGAAGCCUAAAAUCAGGGCUUAGUUGAGAAGAGAGUUCAGGGAAGUCUGAGUAGAGUUUGGUCAAGGAGAGAAACUUAGUCGGGAGAGAGGGAAGGAGAGAAAGAGACAGAGAGUGAAGCUAAACAUCCAGAAAGAGUUGGUACCAAUGGUUUUUUCAGUGCUGAUGUACAUUUUGGCUCCUGGACAAAUG
RNAcentral lists this long non-coding RNA (1164 nucleotides) under Homo sapiens (human). RNAcentral describes it as "HSALNT0150618". Lineage: Eukaryota; Metazoa; Chordata; Mammalia; Primates; Hominidae. The record is from RNAcentral.